GCACAGAGAGCUUGCUCUCGGGUGACGAGUGGCGGACGGGUGAGUAAUGUCUGGGAAACUGCCUGAUGGAGGGGGAUAACUACUGGAAACGGUAGCUAAUACCGCAUAACGUCGCAAGACCAAAGAGGGGGACCUUCGGGCCUCUUGCCAUCAGAUGUGCCCAGAUGGGAUUAGCUAGUAGGUGGGGUAACGGCUCACCUAGGCGACGAUCCCUAGCUGGUCUGAGAGGAUGACCAGCCACACUGGAACUGAGACACGGUCCAGACUCCUACGGGAGGCAGCAGUGGGGAAUAUUGCACAAUGGGCGCAAGCCUGAUGCAGCCAUGCCGCGUGUAUGAAGAAGGCCUUCGGGUUGUAAAGUACUUUCAGCGGGGAGGAAGGUGUUGUGGUUAAUAACCRCAGCAAUUGACGUUACCCGCAGAAGAAGCA
Molecule: ribosomal RNA, 429 nt
Filed under: Pantoea sp. 2AT2
Lineage: Bacteria; Pseudomonadati; Pseudomonadota; Gammaproteobacteria; Enterobacterales; Erwiniaceae
Description: bacterial SSU rRNA
Rfam family: Bacterial small subunit ribosomal RNA
Source: RNAcentral